CGGGCCCACCAUGCAGUCGAGCGGAUGAAGGGAGCUUGCUCCUGGAUUCAGCGGCGGACGGGUGAGUAAUGCCUAGGAAUCUGCCUGGUAGUGGGGGAUAACGUCCGGAAACGGGCGCUAAUACCGCAUACGUCCUGAGGGAGAAAGUGGGGGAUCUUCGACCUCACGCUAUCAGAUGAGCCUAGGUCGGAUUAGCUAGUUGGUGGGGUAAAGGCCUACCAAGGCGACGAUCCGUAACUGGUCUGAGAGGAUGAUCAGUCACACUGGAACUGAGACACGGUCCAGACUCCUACGGGAGGCAGCAGUGGGGAAUAUUGGACAAUGGGCGAAAGCCUGAUCCAGCCAUGCCGCGUGUGUGAAGAAGGUCUUCGGAUUGUAAAGCACUUUAAGUUGGGAGGAAGGGCAGUAAGUUAAUACCUUGCUGUUUUGACGUUACCAACAGAAUAAGCACCGGCUAACUUCGUGCCAGCAGCCGCGGUAAUACGAAGGGUGCAAGCGUUAAUCGGAAUUACUGGGCGUAAAGCGCGCGUAGGUGGUUCAGCAAGUUGGAUGUGAAAUCCCCGGGCUCAACCUGGGAACUGCAUCCAAAACUACUGAGCUAGAGUACGGUAGAGGGUGGUGGAAUUUCCUGUGUAGCGGUGAAAUGCGUAGAUAUAGGAAGGAACACCAGUGGCGAAGGCGACCACCUGGACUGAUACUGACACUGAGGUGCGAAAGCGUGGGGAGCAAACAGGAUUAGAUACCCCUGGUAGUCCACGCCGUAAACGAUGUCGACUAGCCGUUGGGAUCCUUGAGAUCUUAGUGGCGCAGCUAACGCGAUAAGUCGACCCCCUGGGGAGUACGGCCGCAAGGUUAAAACUCAAUGAAUUGACGGGGGCCCGCACAAGCGGUGGAGCAUGUGGUUUAAUUUCGAAGCACGCGAAGACCUUACCUGGCCUUGACAUGCUGAGAAACUUUCCAGAGAUGGAUGGUGCCCUUCCGAACUCGACCCAGGUGCUGCAUGGGCUGUCGUCAGCCUCGUGUCGUGAGAUGUUGGGGUUAAGUCCCGUAACGAGCGCACCCUGUCCCUAGCUACCAGCACCUCGGGGGCUUCUCUACGGAGACUGCCGAUUGACUAACCGUAGAACGUGCGGAAUCGACCGUCAAGUCAUCCAUUGACCUUAACGGCCCAUGCAG
RNAcentral lists this ribosomal RNA (1176 nucleotides) under Klebsiella pneumoniae. Its description in RNAcentral is "bacterial SSU rRNA". It matches the Rfam family "Bacterial small subunit ribosomal RNA", at positions 43 to 1216 of the family's 1533-position model. Lineage: Bacteria; Pseudomonadati; Pseudomonadota; Gammaproteobacteria; Enterobacterales; Enterobacteriaceae. The record is from RNAcentral.